This 219-nucleotide long non-coding RNA is filed under the name Homo sapiens (human). RNAcentral describes it as "long intergenic non-protein coding RNA 511". The record is from RNAcentral. Lineage: Eukaryota; Metazoa; Chordata; Mammalia; Primates; Hominidae.
UCCUCACCACUGAUCCCAGCCACCUUGGGCGGCUGGGGAGCGAGGCUGACCGCUAAGUGGACCUGACCUUCAGAAUGAGGGCUUUCUGAGGUAUUUUUCCCUCUCCACCCUGGUCUUCUCCUGUAACGUGUGGCCGCCUUUUCCAGCACGGCCUCCUGCCUUCCUGGUGCACUUUUUGGAGAACGUGGUGGAAUCAGAGGUUUCUGGCUGACUCGGUGG